Molecule: long non-coding RNA, 595 nt
Organism: Octopus bimaculoides (California two-spot octopus)
Lineage: Eukaryota; Metazoa; Mollusca; Cephalopoda; Octopoda; Octopodidae
Source: RefSeq, a predicted model, not a curated record
UAAUGAUAUUUCUCCAACUCCUUGGAAAUGAUGACGGCAGGUAUUCUGGCUUGUACACGACACACACAAACGAGGCAGAAAUCAAAUGGAAUCUAAAUAAUUACUAUUUUGAAGGGUAAUAAUAAAAUGUUCAUUGAAACAAAGCAGUGAUAAACCACUCGGAACGUGUUAUACUUGUGACACCUAAGCGUAUGAUUCUUAUAUAAGAACAUUGUUCCAUUCUGCAUAAUGCACGAAGAAACACUGACGGGUUCAAUAUGAAUUCUGCAUUCUUUCUCAUUAUCUUGGCAAUAUACAUGAUGAUUUCCGUGACCGAAGGCUUUAAAGUGGACUGUCAACCCGAAUGCGAGGCAAAGCGCAAAAACAGUACUAUAAACUCUUGGUUGGAGUGUUUACGAGAGCACUGCAAAUGUCGAUAUGAUUGCUAUAAUUCAUUUUUGAAACAUGAAAAAUUUAACGCUUAUAUGAAGUGUUUAAGCGGUUGUCCAUGAAUUAUAUUCAACGUUUGUUGACUGUAUUCAAUUCACUGAAGAAACUCAAUAAAGAUUUGUGAUAUCAUAAGCAAUAAUUGUAUAGAGAGUACAGAUAUAGACAU